Molecule: ribosomal RNA, 250 nt
Filed under: uncultured bacterium
Lineage: Bacteria
Description: partial 16S ribosomal RNA
Rfam family: Bacterial small subunit ribosomal RNA
Source: RNAcentral
UACGUAGGGUCCAAGCGUUGUCCGGAUUUAUUGGGCGUAAAGAGCUCGUAGGCGGUUCGGUAAGUCGGAUGUGAAAACUCUGGGCUCAACCCAGAGACGCCAUCCGAUACUGCUGUGACUUGAGUCUGGUAGGGGAACUCGGAAUUCCUGGUGUAGCGGUGAAAUGCGCAGAUAUCAGGAGGAACACCGAUGGCGAAGGCAGAGUUCUGGGCCAGUACUGACGCUGAGGAGCGAAAGCGUGGGGAGCAAA